RNAcentral lists this ribosomal RNA (845 nucleotides) under Amandinea punctata. Its description in RNAcentral is "eukaryotic LSU rRNA". It matches the Rfam family "Eukaryotic large subunit ribosomal RNA", at positions 56 to 919 of the family's 3401-position model. Lineage: Eukaryota; Fungi; Ascomycota; Lecanoromycetes; Caliciales; Caliciaceae. The record is from RNAcentral.
GGAAAGAAACCAACAGGGAUUGCCUCAGUAACGGCGAGUGAAGCGGCAACAGCUCAAAUUUGAAAUCUGGCCUCCUCGGGGUCCGAGUUGUAAUUUGUAGAGGGUGUUUCGGGCGACGCGCCGGCCUAAGUUCCUUGGAACAGGACGUCAUAGAGGGUGAGAAUCCCGUAUGCGGCCGGCGACCGAGUUCAUGUGAAACCCCUUCGACGAGUCGAGUUGUUUGGGAAUGCAGCUCUAAAUGGGUGGUAAAUUUCAUCUAAAGCUAAAUACCGGCCAGAGACCGAUAGCGCACAAGUAGAGUGAUCGAAAGAUGAAAAGCACUUUGGAAAGAGAGUUAAAAAGUACGUGAAAUUGUUGAAAGGGAAGCGCUUGCAACCAGACCUGUGUUCGGGUGAUCAACCGUCCUGUAAGGGCGGUGCACUCGCCCGCGACAGGCCAGCAUCGGUUCGGGCGGCUGGAUAAAGGCCUUGGGAACGUAGCUCCCCUCGGGGAGUGUUAUAGCCCAAGGUGCAAUGCGGCCAGCCUGGACCGAGGACCGCGCUUCGGCUAGGAUGCUGGCGUAAUGGUUGUAAGCGGCCCGUCUUGAAACACGGACCAAGGAGUCUAACAUCUAUGCGAGUGUUUGGGUGUCAAACCCAUGCGCGUAAUGAAAGUGAACGGAGGUGAGAACCCUGAAGGGCGCAUCAUCGACCGAUCCAGAUGUCUUCGGAUGGAUUUGAGUAAGAGCAUAGCUGUUGGGACCCGAAAGAUGGUGAACUAUGCCUGAAUAGGGUGAAGCCAGAGGAAACUCUGGUGGAGGCUCGCAGCGGUUCUGACGUGCAAAUCGAUCGUCAAAUUUGGGUAUA